Peromyscus maniculatus bairdii (prairie deer mouse) is the source of this 806-nucleotide non-coding RNA. Lineage: Eukaryota; Metazoa; Chordata; Mammalia; Rodentia; Cricetidae. The record is from RefSeq and is a predicted model, not a curated record.
GAAGGCUGAGGCAGAGAGACACAGCCAGCCGCCGCCAUGACCAGCAGCAUGUGAAGACGCCGUUCCCCAAAGACUCAAUGACUGGAGGACAGCAUGUUCUUAUAAGGUAGCCUGCAUGGCACACCAUAUGGGAAAGAGGUGAACUAAAGGUUCUAGUCUAAGAAAUAUGUACCCCAAAAAGCAAAUCCAGAAGGCAGGUAACCUCCAGAACGAUGCCUUGACAGUGAGAAAGCACAGGAGCCAGCAUGACAAGAUGAAGAGCUAAGAAGGUUACAGAUGUGCAGGCUGAUGUGGCACUGCAUGUAUGAACCGGACGUUACACAUAAAGAGAGCCAAGCCAGGCAAAUUUAAGGACUGGAAGGACCUUGUUGAACUGUUUUCACAUUGUCUAACCUGGAACUGUAAACUGAAGACACCGUGAGUAUGCUUGGAUGUUAAGAGAAAGAAUAAAAGGGCACACUCUUUUCUCAUUUGAUGGAUUCUCUCUCAGUCAUCACAGUCUGCAGGAAGCUUCUGUGGUCUCAAUCCUAACUGUCAUCACUGUGCCCAACAUACUCCACACCACCGCUAAGACCGCCGCCUCUACCCACUCAGCGCAUCCCAAACACCAUUACUGUGACCACCACCACCCACAGACACCUACUAGUACCCCAAAAUAAAACGCCUUUCCUGUAGUAAAGGUUCAGCAGAUGCUUGAAGAAUAAAUGAACAAACCUAAAAUUAGAAAUGGCCUCCCAAAAUGUUUGCAAUGUGGGAUUGUCUUCUUUGUAAUAAAUCACUGGUGCUCAGCUUCAUUCUUUCCAGUA